GGGAAAGGGAUGGAGAUUUAUUUUUAACCAUGUUUUUGUAUUUUUUAAAAAAGCAUAUAUGUGUAGACCUAUUACAAAAUACAUGUUAGGCCAGAUAUGGUGGCUCACACCUCUAAUCUCAAUGCUUUGAGGUUGAGAUGGGAAGAUUGCUUGAGACCAGAAGUUUGAGAUCAGCGUGGGCAAUACAGCGAGACCUCUAUCUCUACAAAAUAAUUUUAAAAAAUUAGCCAGGCAUGGUGGCAGCUGCUGUCUUCUGAAUCUACCUCUGUCUUUGUGCUGAGGCUGACCUCAGCUAAUGACUAAGCAAGAUGUGGCUGCUAAUGCAGGCUCAUUUCUACAAAACACAUCUGCUGUCACAAAAGACUUUGGCCUGAGGAGUCCCCAUUGGCCUGGUCAGAAUAUUCUAGAAACUGUGCUGCAGCCUGAGACUCUUCCUAUGUAAUCCUCUC
RNAcentral lists this long non-coding RNA (449 nucleotides) under Homo sapiens (human). Its description in RNAcentral is "non-protein coding lnc-PLA1A-1:1". Lineage: Eukaryota; Metazoa; Chordata; Mammalia; Primates; Hominidae. The record is from RNAcentral.